GUGGGGAAUAUUGGACAAUGGGCGAAAGCCUGAUCCAGCCAUGCCGCGUGUGUGAAGAAGGUCUUCGGAUUGUAAAGCACUUUAAGUUGGGAGGAAGGGCAGUAAGUUAAUACCUUGCUGUUUUGACGUUACCAACAGAAUAAGCACCGGCUAACUUCGUGCCAGCAGCCGCGGUAAUACGAAGGGUGCAAGCGUUAAUCGGAAUUACUGGGCGUAAAGCGCGCGUAGGUGGUUCAGCAAGUUGAAGGUGAAAUCCCCGGGCUCAACCUGGGAACUGCCUCCAAAACGACUGGGCUAGAGUACGGUAGAGGGUAGUGGAAUUUCCUGUGUAGCGGUGAAAUGCGUAGAUAUAGGAAGGAACACCAGUGGCGAAGGCGACUACCUGGACUGAUACUGACACUGAGGUGCGAAAGCGUGGGGAGCAAACAGGAUUAGAAACCCGGGUAGUCC
RNAcentral lists this ribosomal RNA (450 nucleotides) under uncultured bacterium. Its description in RNAcentral is "bacterial SSU rRNA". It matches the Rfam family "Bacterial small subunit ribosomal RNA", at positions 354 to 796 of the family's 1533-position model. The record is from RNAcentral.